UUGGUGCCUUCGGGAACUGUGAGACAGGUGCUGCAUGGCUGUCGUCAGCUCGUGUUGUGAAAUGUUGGGUUAAGUCCCGCAACGAGCGCAACCCUUAUCCUUUGUUGCCAGCGGUUAGGCCGGGAACUCAAAGGAGACUGCCAGUGAUAAACUGGAGGAAGGUGGGGAUGACGUCAAGUCAUCAUGGCCCUUACGACCAGGGCUACACACGUGCUACAAUGGCAUAUACAAAGAGAAGCGACCUCGCGAGAGCAAGCGGACCUCAUAAAGUAUGUCGUAGUCCGGAUUGGAGUCUGCAACUCGACUCCAUGAAGUCGGAAUCGCUAGUAAUCGUAGAUCAGAAUGCUACGGUGAAUACGUUC
This 362-nucleotide ribosomal RNA is filed under the name Klebsiella sp. 142S. RNAcentral's name for it is "bacterial SSU rRNA". It matches the Rfam family "Bacterial small subunit ribosomal RNA", at positions 1011 to 1373 of the family's 1533-position model. The record is from RNAcentral. Lineage: Bacteria; Pseudomonadati; Pseudomonadota; Gammaproteobacteria; Enterobacterales; Enterobacteriaceae.